Physeter macrocephalus (sperm whale) is the source of this 6692-nucleotide RNA transcript. It is a transcript of the gene named lysine demethylase 3A, with no coding region annotated. The transcript is spliced from 28 exons. Lineage: Eukaryota; Metazoa; Chordata; Mammalia; Artiodactyla; Physeteridae. The record is from RefSeq and is a predicted model, not a curated record.
UCGGCUGGGCGGCUGGAAACGGUGGCCGUCGCCGGUGACUCAGGGAGGCGGGAGGCGGGGUAAGAGCGCCGCGGCCUCGGCUGAGGGGAGCGGAGGAAGAAAGGGAGGAGCCCUUCCUGCAGCGUGGAAACCAUGGUGCUCACGUUCGGAGAAAGUUGGCCAGUAUUGGUAGGGAAGCGAUUCCUCAGUCUGUCCGCAGCCGACGGCAGCGACGGCGGCCACGACAGCUGGGACUUGGAGCGCGUCGCCGAGUGGCCCUGGCUCUCCGGGACCAUUCGAGCCGUCUCCCACACCGACGUUACUAAGAAGGAUCUGAAGGUGUGUGUGGAGUUUGAUGGGGAAUCUUGGAGGAAGAGAAGAUGGAUAGAUGUCUACAGCCUUCUAAGGAGAGCCUUUUUAGUGGAACAUAACUUGGUUUUGGCUGAACGAAAGUCUCCUGAAGUUUCUGAGCGAAUUGUUCAGUGGCCUGCGAUAAUGUACAGAUCUCUGCUGGACAAAGCUGGUUUGGGAUCCAUAACGUCUAUUCGCUUUUUAGGAGAUCAACAAAGAGUAUUUCUUUCUAAAGACCUUUUAAAGCCUAUACAGGAUGUAAACAAUCUUCGACUUUCACUUAUUGAUAAUCAGAAUGUCAGUAAAGAAUUUCAAGCUUUGAUUGUGAAACAUUUGGAUGAAAGCCAUCUUUUACAAGGUGACAAAAACUUAGUUGGUUCAGAAGUAAAAAUUUAUAGCUUGGACCCAUCUACACAGUGGUUUUCUGCAACCAUUGUAAAUGGAAACCCAACAUCAAAAACUCUUCAAGUCAACUGUGAGGAGAUUCCAGCACUGAAAAUUGUUGAUCCAUCACUGAUUCAUGUUGAAGUUGUACAUGAUAACUUUGUGACAUGUGGUAAUUCUACAAGAAUUGGGGCUGUAAAACGCAAAUCUUCUGAGAAUAAUGGAAGCCUGGUUUCCAAACAAGCAAAAUCUUGCUCUGAGGCCUCUCCCAGUGUGUGUCCUGUACAGUCUGUUCCCACAACAGUUUUUAAGGAGAUACUGCUCGGCUGCACUGCAGCAACUCCGCCAAGUAAGGACCCGAGACAUCAGAGUACUCCCCAGGCUGCCAACUCUCCACCUAACCUUGGAGCAAAAAUUCCUCAAGGAAGUCAUAAACAGAUUUUACCAGAACUUUCUUCCUGUCUAAAUACAAAGCCUGAAAUACUGAGAACACCAGAUGCUGUCUGCAAAGUAGGAUUGCUCUCUUCAAAGUCCUCUCAGGUUGGAACUGGAGACUUGAAAACCCUGAGUGAACCAAAGGGAAGCUAUACCCAGCUGAAGACAAACACUGACCAGGAAAGCAGGUUGGAAUCUUUUCCUCCAUCAUCAACUCACCUUCCUAAGGAGUGCUUACCUACAAAGCCUUCUUCUACGGCAGAAUUGGAAAUUGCCAGUACUCCUGAACUGCAGAAGCAUCUCGAACAUGGACCUUCCACAUCUGAUGUCCUUUCAAAUAUGCCAGAAGAGAAAGCAGAUGUCAAUAGUAAUAGUCCUAAUUGUUGUGUAGAAAAAAAGGUAGAACCUUCAACUUUAGGUUGCCAGUCACAGAAUUUAAAGGAGUCUUCAGCAAAAGUAGAUACUGAAAGCUGUUGUACAAGAAGCAACAAUAAAAUCCAGAAUGCCCCAUCCCGGAAGUCGGUUUUGACAGACCCAGCCAAACUCAAGAAGCUGCAGCAGAGCGGUGAGGCCUUUGUGCAGGACGACUCUUGUGUGAACAUCGUUGCACAGCUACCCAAGUGCCGGGAGUGUCGCUUGGACAGCCUCCGAAAGGAUAAGGAGCAGCAGAAAGACUCGCCCGUGUUUUGCCGCUUCUUUCACUUCAGGAGGUACCGAGGCCCAUCUCAACACUGCUUCUUAUUCCAGAAGCUUGCAUGGUUACAGUUCAACAAACAUGGUGUAUUGCGGGUAGAAGGCUUCUUAACACCAAACAAGUAUGACAGUGAAGCAAUUGGCUUAUGGUUGCCUUUAACCAAAAAUGUUGUUGGGACUGAUUUGGACACAGCAAAGUAUAUCCUGGCAAACAUUGGAGACCACUUCUGUCAAAUGGUGAUUUCUGAAAAGGAAGCUAUGUCAACUAUUGAGCCACACAGACAGGUUGCUUGGAAGCGAGCUGUCAAAGGUGUUCGAGAAAUGUGUGAUGUGUGUGACACCACCAUCUUCAACCUGCACUGGGUGUGUCCUCGGUGUGGGUUUGGAGUGUGUGUGGAUUGCUAUCGGAUGAAGAGGAAAAAUUGCCAACAGGGUGCUGCCUACAAGACUUUCUCUUGGCUGAGAUGUGUGAAGAGUCAGAUACAUGAACCAGAGAACCUCAUGCCUACGCAGAUCAUUCCUGGAAAAGCCCUCUAUGACGUUGGAGACAUUGUUCAUUCUGUAAGAGCAAAAUGGGGAAUAAAGGCAAAUUGUCCGUGUUCAAACAGGCAGUUCAAACUCUUUUCGAAGCCAGCCUCAAAGGAAGACAUAAAACAGACUUCCUUGGUUGGAGAAAAAUCGACUCUUGGUGCUGUGCUCCAGCAGAACCCCUCGGGGUUGGAGCCCAUGGCUGUAGGUGGGGAGGCUGCGUCCAAGCCGGCCAGCAGCGUGAAGCCUGCCUGUCCUGCCAGCACAUCUCCUUUGAACUGGCUGGUAGACCUGACCAGCGGCAAUGUCAACAAGGAAAACAAGGAAAAACAACCAACGAUGCCAAUUUUAAAGAAUGAAAUCAAAUGCCUUCCACCCCUACCCCCCUUGAGCAAAUCCAGCACAGUCCUCCACACCUUUAACAGCACGAUUUUGACACCUGUAAGCAACAACAAUUCUGGUUUCCUCCGAAAUCUCUUGAAUUCCUCUGCAGGAAAGACAGAAAAUGGACUCAAGAAUACACCAAAAAUCCUUGAUGACAUCUUUGCCUCUUUGGUGCAAAAUAAGACUUGCUCCGAUUUAUCUAAGCGGCCGCAAGGACUGACCAUCAAGCCCAGCAUCCUGGGCUUCGACACUCCUCACUACUGGCUGUGUGACAGUCGCCUGCUGUGCCUGCAAGAUCCCAACAACAAGAGCAACUGGAAUGUGUUCCGGGAGUGCUGGAAGCAAGGGCAGCCAGUGAUGGUGUCAGGAGUGCAUCAUAAGCUGAACACUGAACUUUGGAAACCGGAAUCCUUCAGGAAAGAGUUUGGAAAUCAGGAAGUUGACCUCGUUAAUUGCAGAACCAAUGAAAUCAUCACAGGAGCCACAGUAGGAGACUUCUGGGAUGGAUUUGAAGAUGUUCCGAACCGCUUGAAAAAUGAAAAAGAGCCAAUGGUGCUGAAACUUAAGGACUGGCCACCAGGAGAAGAUUUUAGAGAUAUGAUGCCCUCCAGGUUUGAUGAUCUGAUGGCCAACAUUCCACUGCCUGAGUACACAAGGAGAGAUGGCAAACUGAACUUGGCCUCAAGGCUGCCAAACUACUUUGUUAGGCCAGACCUGGGUCCCAAGAUGUAUAAUGCUUAUGGAUUAAUUACUCCAGAAGAUCGGAAAUAUGGAACAACAAAUCUUCACUUAGAUGUAUCUGAUGCAGCUAAUGUCAUGGUCUAUGUGGGAAUUCCCAAAGGACAGUGUGACCAAGAAGAAGAAGUCCUUAAAACCAUCCAAGAUGGAGAUUCUGAUGAACUCACGAUAAAGCGAUUUAUUGAAGGAAAAGAGAAGCCAGGAGCCCUCUGGCACAUAUAUGCUGCUAAGGACACAGAGAAGAUACGAGAAUUUCUUAAAAAGGUAUCAGAAGAGCAAGGUCAAGAAAACCCCGCAGACCACGAUCCCAUUCAUGAUCAGAGCUGGUAUUUAGACCGAUCGCUAAGAAAGCGUCUUCAUCAAGAGUAUGGAGUUCAAGGCUGGGCUAUCGUGCAGUUUCUUGGAGAUGUGGUAUUUAUCCCAGCAGGAGCUCCACAUCAGGUUCAUAACUUAUACAGCUGUAUCAAAGUGGCUGAAGAUUUUGUUUCUCCAGAACAUGUUAAACACUGCUUCUGGCUUACUCAGGAAUUCCGCUAUCUGUCACAGACUCAUACAAAUCAUGAAGAUAAAUUACAGGUGAAGAAUGUUAUCUACCAUGCAGUGAAAGAUGCGGUUGCUAUGCUGAAAGCCAGUGAAUCCAGUUUUGGCAAACCCUGAGGGUCCCAGAGGCGCCUGACCCCUGCACAUUGGAAGUGAAUUACUGGCAGCUGUUCAAACUCUUCAGGCAGGAAUCCUGUGGACUUUGAGACUCAUGUUACCUCAUCUUCUUUUUUAAACUGUACCCACCUGAGUCAACACACACUUCAUCAGUGUUACAGGUGUAAGAGUUUGCGCCAGGAACUCAUCUUAAAAGCACAGAAAUUUGAUGCUUUAGUGAUUUCUGAGUGGUUAUUACAAUGCUAACAUGGAAACAAGUUUCUCCCCAGCCAAGUUGAAACUCCUGUCACACUUUUGUAAAGAAACACCACCACCUUUAGAAGUGACAAUUAACCAAAAAACCAAAUAGUGACGGGUUAAAUGGUUCUAAAAAGGUAAGAGAUCAAAAUUCUUUGUCUCUCUUCUGACCCUUUAUAGUUUAAGAGUUUACAAAGGAAAAUGAAAUUACUAGAAGUUUUAGAACAGUAGUAUCUAAAAUAAUCAUCUCUAUGAAGGAAGAAAAUAAAGAAGCCACUUUUCUAUAGCUCGUUGAUUCUCCUAGACAGCUGUAGCUGUACUAAAAGGAAUUAAAUUGAAAUCAAGUAGCGUAGACAAGGCCUAGAGCCUGGAUUUUUACCUGUGAGCUCAGAGUAGGAGAUCAAAGAUCCCCGCCUAAUGUCAGCCCACUUCAAACCAAAAUCUAUCUUUAAUGGAUGAACUUUCAAAAACAAAGUUUUCUGAAAAGAAAGAAUAAGUAGAAAUAUCUACCUAUCUUAGUGGGAAACGUCUUCCCUGGGAAUUUCUUACCAGAAGCUUCUUUAUACAGUUUUGGAUCUAGAAUUGGCACUGUUGAUUAGAAAUCUCCAAUAGGUAAAAGAAGAAGAGGAAAACUUGGAUUCUCUAUAGAGGAAAUCACCUUCAAGCCAGGCCUCAAAGGAGUCCCACAGAUGAUAGUUCCAAGGACUGUUAUUCACAAUCAAAUGCAUUGUAUACACAAAUAUGAAAACUGAAAGCUACCAUGAGCAAGAGUCGAUGCAAACCUGAAACUGCCAUAUCAAACGUGCAAAGUUUGUAGGUUCUGGAAUGAUCCAGCACUUAUUGUAUAUUCUGAAAUGUUUAGUAUGUUUGAAGAAAUGAGAAUAUAGGAAUAUGAUGAAAGAAUGAGAUUGCCAGAAAUGACCAGAUUUGGAAAGAAGCUGAAUAGAACUUACAGAAAUGAGACAUGAUGGUUAAAAUUAGAAAUUCAGCAUAUGAGUUAAGUGGCAGAAAAAAGUUCUUUUACAAACUGAAAGAUUGGUAAAAAUAACACAAGACAGCAUUGAGUAACAGGAAACUGUAAAGAAGUGGUAACUUACAAGGCGGACACGGAAAAGUAUAGGUUUGACCAUCAGUGACAGAGAAUUAAGAGACUGGUGAGGGAGGGUGACAUUCUGAGACUGAAAUUUUUCCAGUACUGACAGGUCAGGUCGAAGAAGCCUAACUAAAGCAAGCAAGAUAAAUAAAAUAUCCACACCUGUGGGUAGUAAGUAACAGUAAUAAGUUUAAAGAAUACCCAAAACAAAUAGGUUCUUAAAAGUACCCAGAAUGGGGAAAAACAUGAUCUUCAAAGAGGUGACAGACUUAACAGCUGACUUCUUAACAACAACAGGGGGAGUCAGGAAAGUAGAUGCAACUCUUACUGUGCCAGAGAACAUGCCUGAAAAUAAGUCUAGACACAGCAAAAUUAUUUUCCCUGUUUCACUGACAUUUUCAGAUAAAAGCCAGAGUUUUUCUUCAGGCCCUUGCUGAAGGAACUUGUAAGAAUAUCCUUAGGAUUAAAAAAAAAAUAAAAAGAAAAAGAGAAUACCCUUAGGAAAAAAAAAGUAACCCACAUCAUGAUGCAAGAAAAAACGGUGUACAAGGGAAACUGUAAAUUCAUGGAUAAUCUUAAGCAACAGUGGAACAAUAUUUUUAGAAGUAAGUCUGGAUAAAGUUCCUCUAAAAGUUAAACAUAGAAUUAACGCAUGAUCCAGCAAUUCCACAACGCAUGAUCCAGCAAUUCCACUGCUAUGUUUAUACUCAAAAGAAUUGAAAGCAAGGAUUCAAGCAGGUACCUGUAGACUCAUGUUCAUAGCAGCAUUAUUCACAAGAGCCAAGAAGUGGAAACAACCCUAUAGAUGAACAGAUGAUAAACAAUGUGGCAUAUCUAUACAGUGGAAUAUUUUUCAGUCUCUUAAAAAGGAAAGAAAUUCUGACACAGGCUACAACAUGGAUGAGUCUUGAAAAUACACUAAGUGAAAUAUGGCAGACACACCAAAGGACAGAUACUGUAUGGUUCCACUUAUAUGAGGGACAGUCAUGUUCCUAGAGUAGAGACAGGAAGUAGAAUGAUGGUUACUGGGGCUGAGAGGAAGGGGAACUGGAAGUUACUGUUUAACGGUUACAGACUUUCUGUUUGGGAUGAUGAAAAAAUUCUGGAGAUAGAUGGUGGUGAUGGUUGUACAACAUUGUAAAUGUCCUUACUGCCACUGAAUUGUACACUUAAAAAUGAUUAAAAUGGUCAAUUUUGUGUUAUGUAUAUUUUA